UAUUGCACAAUGGGGGAAACCCUGAUGCAGCGACGCCGUGUGUGGGAAGACGGUCCUCUGUGUUGUAAACCACUGUCCCCAGGGACGAAGAUGACGGUACCUGGGGAGGAAGCUCCGGCUAACUACGUGCCAGCAGCCGCGGUAAUACGUAGGGAGCGAGCGUUGUCCGGAAUUACUGGGUGUAAAGGGAGCGUAGGCGGGACUGCAAGUUGGGUGUCAAAUCUACCGGCUCAACCGGUAGCCGCACUCAAAACUGCAGUUCUUGUGUGAAGUAGAGGCAGGCGGAAUUCCUUGUGUAGCGGUGAAAUGCGUAGAUAUUAGGAGGAACACCAGUGGCGAAGGCGGCCUGCUGGGCUUUUACUGACGCUGAGGCUCGAAAGUGUGGGGAGCAAACAGG
This 397-nucleotide ribosomal RNA is filed under the name uncultured bacterium. Its description in RNAcentral is "bacterial SSU rRNA". It matches the Rfam family "Bacterial small subunit ribosomal RNA", at positions 362 to 776 of the family's 1533-position model. The record is from RNAcentral.